This 70-nucleotide transfer RNA is filed under the name Auchenoglanis occidentalis (giraffe catfish). RNAcentral's name for it is "tRNA-Ile". Lineage: Eukaryota; Metazoa; Chordata; Actinopteri; Siluriformes; Auchenoglanididae. The record is from RNAcentral.
GGAGCCGUGCCUGAAUGCCCAAGGACCACUUGAUAGAGGACUACGAAUGGGAGCUAAUCCUCCAGCUCCU